CAGUCGCCGCGGGAAUACGAAGGGGGCAGCGUUGUUCGGAAUUACUGGGCGUAAAGCGCACGUAGGCGGAUAUUUAAGUCAGGGGUGAAAUCCCAGAGCUCAACUCUGGAACUGCCUUUGAUACUGGGUAUCUUGAGUAUGGAAGAGGUGAGUGGAAUUCCGAGUGUAGAGGUGAAAUUCGUAGAUAUUCGGAGGAACACCAGUGGCGAAGGCGGCUCACUGGUCCAUUACUGACGCUGAGGUGCGAAAGCGUGGGGAGCAAACAGGAUUAGAUACCCCAGUAGUCCCUGUCUCUUAUACA
This 301-nucleotide ribosomal RNA is filed under the name uncultured bacterium. RNAcentral's name for it is "partial 16S ribosomal RNA". It matches the Rfam family "Bacterial small subunit ribosomal RNA", at positions 509 to 808 of the family's 1533-position model. The record is from RNAcentral.